CAGCCGCCGCGGUAAUACGGAGGGUGCAAGCGUUAAUCGGAAUUACUGGGCGUAAAGCGCACGCAGGCGGUCUGUCAAGUCAGAUGUGAAAUCCCCGGGCUUAACCUGGGAACUGCAUUUGAAACUGGCAGGCUAGAGUCUUGUAGAGGGGGGUAGAAUUCCAGGUGUAGCGGUGAAAUGCGUAGAGAUCUGGAGGAAUACCGGUGGCGAAGGCGGCCCCCUGGACAAAGACUGACGCUCAGGUGCGAAAGCGUGGGGAGCAAACAGGAUUAGAUACCCGCGUAGUCCCUGUCUCUUAUAC
RNAcentral lists this ribosomal RNA (301 nucleotides) under uncultured bacterium. RNAcentral describes it as "partial 16S ribosomal RNA". It matches the Rfam family "Bacterial small subunit ribosomal RNA", at positions 509 to 807 of the family's 1533-position model. The record is from RNAcentral.